AUUGAACGCUGGCGGCAGGCCUAACACAUGCAAGUCGAACGAGUGGCGGACGGGUGAGUAAUGUCUGGGAAACUGCCCGAUGGAGGGGGAUAACUACUGGAAACGGUAGCUAAUACCGCAUACCAUCGGAUGUGCCCAGAUGGGAUUAGCUAGUGGGUGGGGUAACGGCUCACCUAGGCGACGAUCCCUAGCUGGUCUGAGAGGAUGACCAGCCAAACUGGAAGUGAGACACGAUCCAGACUCCUACGGGAGGGAGCAGUGGGGAAUAUUGCACAAUGGGCGAAAGACUGAUGCAGCCAUGACGCGUGGAUUAAGAAGGGCUUCGGGUUGUAAAGUACUUUAAGCGAGGAGGCGUUACUGGCAGAGGAAGCGCCGGCUAACUCCGUGCCAGAAGACGCGGUAAUUC
This 406-nucleotide ribosomal RNA is filed under the name uncultured bacterium. RNAcentral's name for it is "partial 16S ribosomal RNA". It matches the Rfam family "Bacterial small subunit ribosomal RNA", at positions 30 to 526 of the family's 1533-position model. The record is from RNAcentral.